Molecule: ribosomal RNA, 253 nt
Filed under: uncultured bacterium
Lineage: Bacteria
Description: partial 16S ribosomal RNA
Rfam family: Bacterial small subunit ribosomal RNA
Source: RNAcentral
GCAAGUCGAGGGGCAGCGCGAUUUAGUUUACUAGAUUGGCGGCGACCGGCGCACGGGUGCGUAACGCGUAUGCAACCUACCUCAUACUGGGGAAUAGCCCGGAGAAAUCCGGAUUAAUGCCCCAUAGUAUUCCAUUUAGGCAUCUAUAAGGAAUUAAAGAUUACGGUAUGAGAUGGGCAUGCGUCCCAUUAGCUAGAUGGUAAGGUAACGGCUUACCAUGGCGACGAUAGGUAGGGGCCCUGAGAGGGGGAUC